CACUAUCGUUAACUGAAUACAUAGGUUAACGAGGCGAACCGGGGGAACUGAAACAUCUAAGUACCCCGAGGAAAAGAAAUCAACCGAGAUUCCCCCAGUAGCGGCGAGCGAACGGGGAGCAGCCCAGAGUCUGAAUCAGCUUGUGUGUUAGUGGAACGGUCUGGAAAGUCCGACGGUACAGGGUGAUAGUCCCGUACACCAAAAUGCACAGGUUGUGAACUCGAAGAGUAGGGCGGGACACGUGGUAUCCUGUCUGAAUAUGGGGGGACCAUCCUCCAAGGCUAAAUACUCCUGACUGACCGAUAGUGAACCAGUACCGUGAGGGAAAGGCGAAAAGAACCCCGGCGAGGGGAGUGAAAAAGAACCUGAAACCGUGUACGUACAAGCAGUGGGAGCACCUUUAGGUGUGACUGCGUACCUUUUGUAUAAUGGGUCAGCGACUUAUAUUCUGUAGCAAGGUUAACCGUAUAGGGGAGCCGCAGGGAAACCGAGUCUUAACUGGGCGUUAAGUUGCAGGGUAUAGACCCGAAACCCGGUGAUCUAGCCAUGGGCAGGUUGAAGGUUGGGUAACACUAACUGGAGGACCGAACCGACUAAUGUUGAAAAAUUAGCGGAUGACUUGUGGCUGGGGGUGAAAGGCCAAUCAAACCGGGAGAUAGCUGGUUCUCCCCGAAAGCUAUUUAGGUAGCGCCUCGUGAACUCAUCUUCGGGGGUAGAGCACUGUUUCGGCUAGGGGGUCAUCCCGACUUACCAACCCGAUGCAAACUACGAAUACCGAAGAAUGUUAUCACGGGAGACACACGGCGGGUGCUAACGUCCGUCGUGAAGAGGGAAACAACCCAGACCGCCAGCUAAGGUCCCAAAGUCACAGUUAAGUGGGAAACGAUGUGGGAAGGCACAGACAGCCAGGAUGUUGGCUUAGAAGCAGCCAUCAUUUAAAGAAAGCGUAAUAGCUCACUGGUCGAGUCGGCCUGCGCGGAAGAUGUAACGGGGCUAAACUGUGCACCGAAGCUGCGGCAGCGACACUAUGUGUUGUUGGGUAGGGGAGCGUUCUGUAAGCCUGCGAAGGUGGCCUGUGAGGGUUGCUGGAGGUAUCAGAAGUGCGAAUGCUGACAUAAGUAACGAUAAUGCGGGUGAAAAGCCCGCACGCCGGAAGACCAAGGGUUCCUGUCCAACGUUAAUCGGGGCAGGGUGAGUCGACCCCUAAGGCGAGGCCGAAAGGCGUAGUCGAUGGGAAACAGGUUAAUAUUCCUGUACUUGGUGUUACUGCGAAGGGGGGACGGAGAAGGCUAUGUUAGCCGGGCGACGGUUGUCCCGGUUUAAGCAUGUAGGCGGAGGUUCCAGGUAAAUCCGGUACCUUUUAACGCUGAGGUGUGAUGACGAGGCACUACGGUGCUGAAGUAACAAAUGCCCUGCUUCCAGGAAAAGCCUCUAAGCAUCAGGUAACAUCAAAUCGUACCCCAAACCGACACAGGUGGUCAGGUAGAGAAUACCAAGGCGCUUGAGAGAACUCGGGUGAAGGAACUAGGCAAAAUGGUGCCGUAACUUCGGGAGAAGGCACGCUGAUAUGUAGGUGAAGUCCCUGCGGAUGGAGCUGAAAUCAGUCGAAGAUACCAGCUGGCUGCAACUGUUUAUUAAAAACACAGCACUGUGCAAACACGAAAGUGGACGUAUACGGUGUGACGCCUGCCCGGUGCCGGAAGGUUAAUUGAUGGGGUUAUCCGUAAGGAGAAGCUCUUGAUCGAAGCCCCGGUAAACGGCGGCCGUAACUAUAACGGUCCUAAGGUAGCGAAAUUCCUUGUCGGGUAAGUUCCGACCUGCACGAAUGGCGUAAUGAUGGCCAGGCUGUCUCCACCCGAGACUCAGUGAAAUUGAACUCGCUGUGAAGAUGCAGUGUACCCGCGGCAAGACGGAAAGACCCCGUGAACCUUUACUAUAGCUUGACACUGAACAUUGAGCCUUGAUGUGUAGGAUAGGUGGGAGGCUUUGAAGCGUGGACGCCAGUCUGCGUGGAGCCAACCUUGAAAUACCACCCUUUAAUGUUUGAUGUUCUAACGUUGGCCCCUGACCGGGGUUGCGGACAGUGUCUGGUGGGUAGUUUGACUGGGGCGGUCUCCUCCCAAAGAGUAACGGAGGAGCACGAAGGUUAGCUAAUCCUGGUCGGACAUCAGGAGGUUAGUGCAAUGGCAUAAGCUAGCUUGACUGCGAGCGUGACGGCGCGAGCAGGUGCGAAAGCAGGUCAUAGUGAUCCGGUGGUUCUGAAUGGAAGGGCCAUCGCUCAACGGAUAAAAGGUACUCCGGGGAUAACAGGCUGAUACCGCCCAAGAGUUCAUAUCGACGGCGGUGUUUGGCACCUCGAUGUCGGCUCAUCACAUCCUGGGGCUGAAGUAGGUCCCAAGGGUAUGGCUGUUCGCCAUUUAAAGUGGUACGCGAGCUGGGUUUAGAACGUCGUGAGACAGUUCGGUCCCUAUCUGCCGUGGGCGCUGGAGAAUUGAGGGGGGCUGCUCCUAGUACGAGAGGACCGGAGUGGACGCAUCACUGGUGUUCGGGUUGUCAUGCCAAUGGCAUUGCCCGGUAGCUAAAUGCGGAAGAGAUAAGUGCUGAAAGCAUCUAAGCACGAAACUUGCCCCGAGAUGAGUUCUCCCUGAGACUUUAAGUCUCCUGAAGGAACGUUAAAGACGAUGACGUUGAUAGGUCGGGUGUGUAAGCGUAGCGAUACGUUGAGCUAACCGAUACUAAUGAACCGUGAGGCUUAACCUUACAACGCCGAAG
RNAcentral lists this ribosomal RNA (2772 nucleotides) under Klebsiella aerogenes. RNAcentral describes it as "bacterial LSU rRNA". It matches the Rfam family "Bacterial large subunit ribosomal RNA". Lineage: Bacteria; Pseudomonadati; Pseudomonadota; Gammaproteobacteria; Enterobacterales; Enterobacteriaceae. The record is from RNAcentral.